UUUUACACCCGGAGUCCAUUGUAAUUAAUACUUUUAUUCUCACACAUGGAGAGGCAGGGGGGAAAACGCAGAGUAAUAUUUCUUCAUUAAUUUUCCCUAGUUAAAAUCAUGUUGAACAUAUCUUUAUGCUUUCUUAUUCCUAUAUUUUUUUCAUUUAUUGUGUUUUGUAAUUACUAUUACUUUUAAAACCAUAUUCACGCCAGUUUUUGCACAACACCAGUUUUUUUUUUCCCUUCCUUCCUCAUUGAAGGUUUACAAAGCCUCAUCAAAUGUUCUUAUUCAGCCUUCCUUAGAACUUGCCAAACUCUUUGUCUGCAUCCUCCCUCUUUCAGUUUUCAGUAUAACAGUUUUUUCAUAUUCACUCAUUACGGGGUAGUACUGCACUCAUUUUUCUCUCCCUCCUUUAUUUAACUUCUUCAUCCCAAAGAAAGCUAUAGCUGUGGUUGCUAUUGAAAAUAAUCCUAUACCACUAGCCCUCUUUCUGGAUAAAUAAUAUCUGGCAUAGUGUUUACACCCAGAACCUAUAAAAGAUCCCAAAAUAACAGUCAUUUACAUAAAAUAGACAAUAAAAGAUCCUAUAGACCUAUAAAAGAUCCCAAAAUAACAGUCAUUUACAUAAAAUAGACAAUAUUGCUAUGUCAACAUUUCUCAAAAGAAAACAUUCAAAUAUCCUACACACCAAAUUCAUUAUCUAUAACUGUAUUACAUUUUUCAUUAAUAUUCUAAUUCAUAUUAUUUAUCAUUUGGUUCUUCUGAAUUUCAAGUCACAGUCACAUCUUACCUUAUCCUACUUAGAAUGUCUAUGACAAUGUUGUCAAAGUUCAACCUAAGCUCAGAUCAUUUUACAACACACGUUUGCCAAACUGUUAGUUGUCCUCAAAAAUUAAAAUCGAAAGUUUUUAUGAACCAACACAUCUGGUCCUACUCACACAUCUUCAUUAGCCAUUAUUUCUAACCCAUGUCUGUGUAUGGUGAGAGUACCUGAGAGCAGUUUUAUGGAGCAGUUCCUUUCUCUUACUUUUUCUAUUUAUGACAAUACAAGCAGUACAUUUUACAGCCAAGGUUUAAGUUCUGGGUCUGUGGACAUAUGCCCUCAUUUAGUUAAGAUUAGAUUCCUCCCUUAAAUCAAAGUUGGAAACCAGAAUUCUUAUCUGAUCUCAAAAAUCUUUUACCAACUGUUUUGUUUUGUUGCUCUCCCCGGUGGACCUCAAUGGGCUGCUUUCUGGAUCCUCUAUCUUUAAUGCCUGAAUCAAAGUAAGUGUGGGUAACAGCCACAUGCUUUGUCAUGUUUUACUCAACAGCACUGUAUUGUUACUAAGCAUGAAACAGACCCCUAUAGAUCUCCUGUCAGAUUGACCUUUGAAAUGAAAUGGGCUUCUGUCCUGAGCAUGUCUUAUGUCUGAGGAUGGUUAACAGCACAUGUGUACAUGUACAUGUUGCUAUGAUCACCCAUGUGAGCUGUGCUCCUGUUGAAUGUUUGUAUUUUCCAUGCAUUGCUAGUGAAAUUAUUGGCAUAGGUGGUAAACAGUGUUGAUGAAAAGGAGGGGAGACUAAGCCUUUCUUGAGCCAAUGAUGAGAGUUUCCAAGGUAUGAAAGAGAUGAUGACCAUGUCUGUUUGGAACUCUGAGGUCCCACACACAGUAAGAAAAGGUCCUUGACGGAUCAUGCCAUAUUUUUAUCUUGUGCUCUGCUCUGCACUCUACAGAAUGCAUGCCCUGGAGGUGACUUCCACGUCUUUUCCUGCUCCCCAGCGGCACAUUUGUCUUUCUGCAUGGAGCUUGGCACAGUGUGAGUACCGGUUAGUGUCCCUGUUUUUCUGUGGUCUGUGGAAGGUUAGUGACUUCAUUAUUUCAAAGUAUCUAACAUGGGGAUAGUGAGAUGUCCCGGGGCUUGAAGGCACUUGCUGCCACCCCUGUUGACCCACAGUUGCUUCCCAGUACCCCAUGGUUGAGAGAGAGAACAGAUUCCUGAAUUUCGAGCUCUUGCCUUCAUAUACAUGUUCUUGGCAUGCAUGUUCAUAAACACAAAUGAAUAUAUUCAGUCAGAACAAGUCUUCAUUACAUCAAGCAUAAUCAAUGGCCACAUGCAGACUUAACAUAAGAUAAGACAUUGAGUUGGCCAUAUUUGAGAAUCCUAGGCUUCUCACCAAAGGAGACAGGUUAAGGUGAAUUGCUUAUUAAUAAAGGAGUGACUUCUAGACUGUUUCAGUAUUUAGUGGAAAUGGUAGCAUUUCCAUUUUCAUGCAUGAUUGAUGAUUCAAUAAAAACAAGCAUGGAAGUAACAGAAGUGGUUUAAGCCAGGCUGGGGCGAUAAUGAGCCCUUGUAGUAUGCAUCCAGAGUAAUGUACACGUGCCUGUCUCUCAGGUCCACUCUGCAGCAGAUCUGCUUUCUGUGUUCAUCUACUUAAAUGCUAUUUUAAUUCCUUGAAUGCCCAAUAAAUACAGAAAACAAUGAAGACAAGUAGUUGAAACAUUAUUCAGAUAGAAACAUGAGUCAAGGCAAAAAAUCCCCAUAAUAUAUUGAGUGUGGAAUGAAAAGAAAAUCAAGUAGCAUAUAACUGUUUUUUGUGUGUGGAGGAAAUAGUGUCAAUACCAGAUAAUGUCUAUUUUCUUGGUUAGAUGCAAGUUUGAAGAUACUAAUUUUACAAGACAUUAGUAUAAAUAUUUUUAAAUUAUGAUGGUUUGCAUGAAUGGCUCAGAUGACAGAUAAUCAUGGAAGAUAAAGCAAAAAAUGUGGGUUUUUUUUUAAACAAAAUUUUCUUUGUGCAUUCUCUUCAGAGCAGAUGCUCUCAAAUAUACUGACAUGUUUGUCCAUGGCCAGCAGCACUGGCUUGCUUCUCUUUAUAGGGCCUGGGACAGAGGGCAGUUCCAGUGUGCUCACCUCUGCUGCUUCCUCCUCCCUUCCCCUCUCCUUCCCUCCACUCUUCCCCUCUUCUUUCCCUCCCCUCUCCUCCCAUCCACUCUUCCCCUCUCCUCCCUCCCCUCUUCCUCCUCUUCCCUCUUUUUCUCCUCUUUCUUCCCCUUCCCUCUCCUCCCCUCCCCUAUCCUCUCCUCCUGCUCCCUCUUCCUUACCUAUCUUCCCCUCUCCUUCCCUCUCCUCCUCUUCCCUUUUUCUCCCCUCCCUUCUCCUCCCCCAUCUCCUCCCUUUCCCUCUUUUCUUCUCCUCCCCUUCCCUCUCCUCUUCUCCCCUCCCCUUCCUCUCCUUCUCUCUCCUUUCCUUCCCUCUCCUCUUCUCCCCUCCCCUUCCUCUCCUUCUCUCUCCUUUCCUUUCCUCUCCUCUUCUUUCCUCCUCUCCACUCUUCCUGUCUACCUCAAUCUUUCCCUCUCCUCUUCCUCUCCUCCCCUCCCUUUUCUCCUUUUUCUCUCCUCCUGUCCCGUUCCCUCUUCUUCAUCUCUCUUACCCUCUCUUCUCCUUCCCUCACCUCUUCUCCCCUCUCCACUUCUCCCCUCUCCUCUCCUCCAUUCUUCUUCUCCACUCUUCUCCUCCCCUCCCUUCCCUCUCGCCCUCUCUCCUCCCCUCUCCUUUCCCCUAUGCUACUCCUCCCCCACUCCUCUUCUCUGUACUCAGGAUAGACCAUAUAACUAGAGGAUUCUCCAAGAGUCAGGAGCUCCAUUUGUACCCUGCUGAAGAGCAAAGCAAGACCAGGGUGAGUUACAGGAAUCUCCUUGUCUUGGUUUGAGUACUUAAACAAUGUGUAGUAUAGUUAGUGAUGACCAUCUGAAUACCAAUGGUUGAUAGGGGACCACAUGAACAUGUCCAUUUGUAACACAAGUAUGUUAACUAGUGUGUAUUAUUACUGCGCUGGACACAUUAGAGAGAAUCCAUGCAUAGAUUAGGCAUAAUUAGACUGCUAGAGUUAAUGUUUUUGCAGGGGUGGGGUUUACUAGCCUACAGUUUAUAAUUAAAUAGUUAAUAGGCAAAGUAGAAAUAAUUAGAGAAAAGGAGACAAAUAUUUGCUUGAUGAUGCCCACCAGUGGCAUUUAAUUCAUACAUGAUGACUGUGUGUCUGAAACACCAAUAGUCAACGAAGAAUAUAAAUGACAUUAAGGUUGAAAGCAGUGGUGUCAUUGUUUUGUCCUUUGCUUUGCUCUGUUCCUUAAAAAAACUCUCCUAAGGGGAUCUAUUCAUCUUCAGUGGCUUCCAGUCCAUCAAUUGCCUCAGACAAUGUGGGAUCUGCUCAGAGUUUGUGUCAUGGUUCUGAUAGUUUGGGGAAGGUUAGUCUCUGUGUUACUAAGUAUAAAAUGCAUUCACAUUAGGUCAACGGUAACACAACUGUAACACCGAACAUACAUGCAAUUAAUAUGUUAGAUUAUUUUUAUAUAUAAAAAGGAUGGUGGUUAUUGAAGGAAACAUAUUCACAAUGUAGAAAUGAAUGGAAAAGAUAAGGCCAAUUUUGGAUUGAUGAUGACCACCUGUGGCAUAUGAGUUACAAAGAGUGACUCUGAGGUCCUUGAUAAAAUCCAGUUGUCACCAACAGAGGUGGAGUUGACAUUGGUCCUCAUGUGUUUGCAUUUUCUGCUGUUCAAUCAAUAAAUCUAAAAAUAAAGAUAAAUAAGAUUAACUGUGGCCCAAUUAUAAAAUAACAGAUGAACAGGACAUGCUUUUUCGGUCAAAUAGGGAUUAUACAUAUCUGCUCUUCAGCAAAUGAUUAAAGUUACAGUAUAAAGCAUAGCUAUAUGAAUGUGUGAACCAUUGCUAAGCUUGUUCCGUUAUUUAUGUGAGAGCUAAUUAAAUAGAUAUCCUUCUUUUAUAAAUGAUUAUCUAUGGCUGAGUAAGUGAAGGUCAUGAUCGAGGUCUAGAGCAAUAUCUUCAUUUUGCCUUUAUCUCUUCUGCUUUGCAUUCCUGGGGCCUUUUCUGUCUGGAGGAUGCCUUCAAGACCAAGAGCUCUGCUGACAUCAUGGCUGGCUCUGGGCAGACCACUGAUGCUGUACCCCAGCCAACCAGUUCCUAAUCAUGAAGAUCUCUUCCUUUGUUCACUGGAGAGAGAGACUGUCAUGAAAUAAUGGAUGCGCCUGGGCUCCUUUCCUCACUGCUUCAGGAUGAAGGCCCCAGCAUUGAUUGUCCAGCCAGGCGCAGUAUGGAUCUGGGCCUCGUUCCUGUUUCUGCAUCCUUCCUUCAGACUGAGUGAUGAUGUGGAACACAGUUCACCCCUCUGGAUUUGACCUUGGUCCCCACCAUUCACCCAAGAAGAACUCAGCCAUGAGAGCCACUGUGCUCAGCUCUUAGGCCAAGAUUGAUGUGGCCAGAACUAUCCUACACCCAGGAUAUAAGCAAGCUUCUUGGUCCUAGAUUCCCAGAUUUAAGAGCUCACAGAAAGCACCCAUGCUGGUCACCAAAUGGAUUGGAUGAGGUCCACAUAGGAAGCAGUGGACACUGGAGGCCUAUGUCACGGUCCCCCGCUGCAGAACCUUUAGAGGCCUGGUUGCCUGAUCCAGCACCCUGUGAGGAAAAACGCCAGGGGCACAAUGCCAGUCUUACUGGGUAAGCUCUGAUUUUUCUGGUUACUCUCAAUGCUGUGUGUCUGGGACAAGACCAGACUUGACUGGGUGGAUGCUUAGGUUGUAAGCACUGAAAGAUGAGCUUUCCAACUGAGCUGGAGUGUCUGUGCAGCCUGUGGGGAGCCAGGUACACUGGCUUCUCCUAGAGAGUAGCACUAGCUACUUCUGGCAGUGGCUUCUCUGAGUGGAAGGCAGAAAUGGCUAGACAAGUCUCCCAUUUCCACAAAUGACUAGAUAGCAGGGUGCUUCCUGGCAGCUUGAGCUGGAGCUUGGGCUAACUUCUGUUACCCCACAUUUUAAGAAAUGAUACAAACAAGCCAGUUGUUGUGACACAUGCACUUGUAAGCCCAGCUCUGGAGAGGCUGAGGCAGGAAAACUGCAAGUUGCCAGCUAGCCUGGUCUUCAGUCAGUUACAAUUUUUGACCUACAAACUCUUGUGGGGAAGCAGAGAAGCAAGAGCCAUGUGGGGGCUCUCCUCUAAAAGAUUUCUAAAGAAAUCACAUUUAUCACAUGAUAUUUAAAAGUCAAUGCUUUCUCAUUAAUAAAAGAAAUAGUAUUGGGGAAAGUAUAGCUUCAGCACUCAAAGAUAACCACUGCCAAUAUUUGGCUAACAGUGCUUGGGUUUUGGUUUAUUCCUAUAAAAUGUAAGUGUGUGUGUGUGUGUGUGUUUAAUUGAGCUCAUCCUUGCUAUUUUUUCUCAUCUGCUUAUGUAUCCUAAACUCUGCCCCAUGCCAUUCAGUAAUUUACUAUCUUUGUUUUCUUAAUGGUCACAAAGGAGUCUAGCCAGUGUCUAUAACUGACUAUUGCUCUGUGCAGAAAGACACAAAAGCUGGGUGGCAUAUGUUAGGGACCCUCCACGUGCUCCCACUUCAUGGCUUGGUCUGGUGUCUUGCUGCUCUUUGUAAUAGUGGGUGGCUCUGUCAGGAGGCUUGAGCUCUUGGCAAACUACCCUCUGCAAACUUUUCGCCCAUUCCAUUUUCAGAGUUAGUUUGAGAAAGUGCCUGCUGCUCUGGGAAUUAUCGGAGUUUUUAACCUUUGCCAAUUUGUCAAAACAUGACAUUUCACCGUUUCCAUCCCCACAGCUUUUAUCGCAGCAGCACAGAGCACUUUUCCGCCCUCUUUGUGGGGUAUUUGUAUCUGAAUUGCCAGCUCAGGCUCCUUGCACUUUUCAUUAUUCCUUUAGUUUUUAUGUUUUUUUUGUCAAACUCAUGCAUACACAUCAUUUUAAGAACAAGAUCUUUCUACAAGACUGUCAGGGAACCAUCAACCCUCCUACCCUCCCGGCUCCGCCCGUAUAGUAUGCGUUACCUGUAACUGCUUUAACUGAUUCUCUUGACAUUUACAUCCUAAUGCUAAGUAAUAUUCUUGUUUUUCUGCUUCUUGAUUUUCUUUCUUUGUGUGUGUGCUUUUUAUUUUUUUUUAAGCCUAGGAAUAAUUUUGCUUGCUCUAUUGUUGAAGACAAGCAUUUAUCUCUCUUUUACAUACGCCCUUGUCUUCACCCCCUUCACACACAACCCUGUACUAUCCUCCCAAGAGAUUAUUUUGAAAUGCAGGCUUGAUCAAUACUCAUGAGUUUACACCCUUCUAAGAGUGUGAACAUUAUCACAAAGCUGAACAAUGUGGUCCUAAUUAUUUAUCUACUCCCUAGUAUUUUUUUUUUCUUCUGGAGUGGUGUGUAUAUGUGUGUGUGUUUCUCUUUGGUUGUUCAGUUUUGUUUUGUUGUUGUUGUUUUGUUUUAUGUAGCUCAGGCUAAUUCACAGCCUUUCCAUACAUACAAAGAUAUGAGUUGUGUAAGACGUAUGUAUAUCAUGUUGAAGAAAUUUUUUUUUGAAGACAGCUUUCCUAUCUUCUCAUGGGCUAGUUCAUCUUUGGGCUGAAACCAUCUUAAUUACCCCAUCUUCUCUUUCUAGGGAUAGGUUUCUUUGGUUUUCCUUCCCUAGAUAGGCCCUUGGUUUUUAUAGAUACCAUAAUAUUUAUUUGGGGGGGGGGUUACUUCUGUUUUUCUAAAAUUUUAAGAGAAAAAGUUCAUGAAAAGUAAACUUUUAGAGAUCUUUCACAUUUGAAUAGGAAAUGUCCACAUUGACCAUGGAUAAGUCAGCUAGGUAUAAAAUUCUUUAAGUUACAGAUUUUUUUCCCUCAGA
This is a long non-coding RNA of Meriones unguiculatus (Mongolian gerbil), 7639 nucleotides long. RefSeq lists it as uncharacterized. The transcript has 6 exons. The record is from RefSeq and is a predicted model, not a curated record. Lineage: Eukaryota; Metazoa; Chordata; Mammalia; Rodentia; Muridae.